Long non-coding RNA from Telopea speciosissima, 148 nucleotides. RefSeq lists it as uncharacterized. The record is from RefSeq and is a predicted model, not a curated record. NCBI's taxonomy places the organism in Eukaryota, Viridiplantae, Streptophyta, Magnoliopsida, Proteales, Proteaceae. The transcript has 3 exons.
AUCUGGGUCGUGUUUGUAUGGUCUUGCAGACCUCAAUCGCCAUUUGUUCUGUAAAUUGAAGCUGAAACUUUCCAUCCAUGAUUUGGGGUUCUUGUUGUGUUCCAUCUCUUCCACCUUCCACGACGAGAUUUCGGAUUGUUUUUCCAUG